Molecule: ribosomal RNA, 661 nt
Filed under: uncultured bacterium
Lineage: Bacteria
Description: bacterial SSU rRNA
Rfam family: Bacterial small subunit ribosomal RNA
Source: RNAcentral
AGAACGAACGCUGGCGGCGUGCUUAACACAUGCAAGUCGAGUGCGCGUCUGUAGCAAUACAAAUGGCGCACGGCGCACGGGUGCGUAACACGUGGGCAAUCUGCCCUUCGAUGGGGAAUAACUCCGGGAAACCGAAGCUAAUUCCGCAUAACAUUCCUUGGACUUCGGUUCGAGGAUUCAAAGCCGUAAGGCGUCGAAGGAGGAGCCCGCGCACGAUUAGCUAGUUGGUAGGGUAACGGCCUACCAAGGCUUUGAUCGUUAGCUGGUCUGAGAGGAUGGCCAGCCACACUGGAACUGAGACACGGUCCAGACUCCUACGGGAGGCAGCAGUGGGGAAUCUUGCACAAUGGGCGAAAGCCUGAUGCAGCGACGCCGCGUGGGGGAUGAAGCAUCUCGGUGUGUAAACCCCUUUCGACUGGGACGAAUGCCUCGCAAGAGGAGUGACGGUACCAGUAGAAGAAGCCCCGGCUAACUACGUGCCAGCAGCCGCGGUAAGACGUAGGGGGCCAGCGUUGUUCGGAAUUACUGGGUGUAAAGGGUUCGUAGGCGGUGUGGCAAGUUGGGAGUGAAAUCUCUGGGCUCAACCCAGAGGCUGCUUCCAAAACUGCCAUGCUUGAGUGUGGGAGAGGCGCGUGGAAUUGCAGGUGUAGCGGUGAAAUGC